AGAAUAUUUACUAGACGCCAACAGCCCACAGAAUCCCUCUACCGUCUGAUUUUGCCGCGUUUCUUGAUGACACCAGUUACUGGACUCUUACUGACGUGGCAACAUCAGAACCAACUACGAAAUAUGUUGAAAACUUGAAAUACAUACGCGACAAAAACCGAACGAUGAUUACUCCGGCCGGUCGUUAACAGCCGGGAAACCCUUUUUUCUUUUUUUCGGGAGAUUACAGUGGAUCCACUAUGAAGAGGGGAACUCUAUGCUAACCAACGACAUCGUUUUAUCACCAGAAACGUCUUUUGUUUCUUGCGGUUCUAUUUGCAUAUCGUUAUAGGCUUCCAGAACUAUGUUUUCAGCUGAUGAGUGUGGAUAAUUUCUGUCACGAGAAGGAGACGGUGACGGAGUAUAGUACGGAGGCGAAGCACACGGAGUCGAAAAAGGCGUCGAAUCAUCUAUGUCAAUCACCACAGCA
Molecule: unclassified non-coding RNA, 469 nt
Filed under: Hevea brasiliensis (rubber tree)
Lineage: Eukaryota; Viridiplantae; Streptophyta; Magnoliopsida; Malpighiales; Euphorbiaceae
Source: RNAcentral